This 365-nucleotide long non-coding RNA is filed under the name Lonchura striata (white-rumped munia). RNAcentral's name for it is "domestica (Bengalese finch) lncRNA (ENSLSDG00000001160.1)". Lineage: Eukaryota; Metazoa; Chordata; Aves; Passeriformes; Estrildidae. The record is from RNAcentral.
AUCCCGGAUGGGUGCCGCUUCAUGCAAAGCACACGGUGGAUUUCGUCGAAGCUUUUGCUCGGAGCCCGGCGAAGUUCCAGGAGAAGGAGCAGAAAUUGGAAUUUCUCCACAGCAUCUGCACCCUGUGCCGGGACUCCAAACUCCGCGACUUCUCCGAGGAGCUGAGGGAUUUCUUCGGCAGGCUCAAGCUGGUGGAGACGGUGCAGCUGCUGCUGGAUUUGGAGCCCAAGUACGAGAUCAACGACCGCGUGCAGCGCCUCGCCAUGCUGGCUUUCGCCGAGCUCAGGUACCGACCCACAGGCUCCAUCCUCGCCUGCAGCCCGGUUCUGGGGCUCCGUGUGCUGGAAAAGUCUCUCCUCCAAGCC